GACGAACGCUGGCGGCGUGCUUAACACAUGCAAGUCGAACGGAAAGGCCCUGCUUUUGUGGGGUGCUCGAGUGGCGAACGGGUGAGUAACACGUGAGUAACCUGCCCUUGACUUUGGGAUAACUUCAGGAAACUGGGGCUAAUACCGGAUAGGAGCUCCUGCUGCAUGGUGGGGGUUGGAAAGUUUCGGCGGUUGGGGAUGGACUCGCGGCUUAUCAGCUUGUUGGUGGGGUAGUGGCUUACCAAGGCUUUGACGGGUAGCCGGCCUGAGAGGGUGACCGGCCACAUUGGGACUGAGAUACGGCCCAGACUCCUACGGGAGGCAGCAGUGGGGAAUAUUGCACAAUGGGCGGAAGCCUGAUGCAGCAACGCCGCGUGCGGGAUGACGGCCUUCGGGUUGUAAACCGCUUUCGCCUGUGACGAAGCGUGAGUGACGGUAAUGGGUAAAGAAGCACCGGCUAACUACGUGCCAGCAGCCGCGGUGAUACGUAGGGUGCGAGCGUUGUCCGGAUUUAUUGGGCGUAAAGGGCUCGUAGGUGGUUGAUCGCGUCGGAAGUGUAAUCUUGGGGCUUAACCCUGAGCGUGCUUUCGAUACGGGUUGACUUGAGGAAGGUAGGGGAGAAUGGAAUUCCUGGUGGAGCGGUGGAAUGCGCAGAUAUCAGGAGGAACACCAGUGGCGAAGGCGGUUCUCUGGGCCUUUCCUGACGCUGAGGAGCGAAAGCGUGGGGAGCGAACAGGCUUAGAUACCCUGGUAGUCCACGCUGUAAACGGUGGGUACUAGGUGUGGGGUCCAUUCCACGGGUUCCGUGCCGUAGCUAACGCUUUAAGUACCCCGCCUGGGGAGUACGGCCGCAAGGCUAAAACUCAAAGGAAUUGACGGGGCCCCGCACAAGCGGCGGAGCAUGCGGAUUAAUUCGAUGCAACGCGUAGAACCUUACCUGGGUUUGACAUGGAUCGGGAGCGCUCAGAGAUGGGUGUGCCUCUUUUGGGGUCGGUUCACAGGUGGUGCAUGGCUGUCGUCAGCUCGUGUCGUGAGAUGUUGGGUUAAGUCCCGCAACGAGCGCAACCCUUGUUCACUGUUGCCAGCACGUUAUGGUGGGGACUCAGUGGAGACCGCCGGGGUCAACUCGGAGGAAGGUGGGGAUGACGUCAAGUCAUCAUGCCCCUUAUGUCCAGGGCUUCACGCAUGCUACAAUGGCUGGUACAGAGAGUGGCGAGCCUGUGAGGGUGAGCGAAUCUCGGAAAGCCGGUCACAGUUCGGAUUGGGGUCUGCAACUCGACCUCAUGAAGUCGGAGUCGCUAGUAAUCGCAGAUCAGCAACGCUGCGGUGAAUACGUUCCCGGGGCU
RNAcentral lists this ribosomal RNA (1346 nucleotides) under uncultured bacterium. Its description in RNAcentral is "bacterial SSU rRNA". It matches the Rfam family "Bacterial small subunit ribosomal RNA", at positions 28 to 1381 of the family's 1533-position model. The record is from RNAcentral.